This 72-nucleotide transfer RNA is filed under the name Camelus bactrianus (Bactrian camel). It matches the Rfam family "tRNA". Rfam says of the family: Transfer RNA (tRNA) molecules are approximately 80 nucleotides in length. Their secondary structure includes four short double-helical elements and three loops (D, anti-codon, and T loops). RNAcentral also lists the same sequence under 2 other names. Lineage: Eukaryota; Metazoa; Chordata; Mammalia; Artiodactyla; Camelidae. The record is from Rfam by way of RNAcentral.
GUAGGAAUACCUCAGUGGUAGAGCCUGUGCUUAGCAUGCACCAGGUCCUGGGUUCAAUCCCCAGUACCUCCA